RNAcentral lists this ribosomal RNA (440 nucleotides) under uncultured bacterium. Its description in RNAcentral is "partial 16S ribosomal RNA". It matches the Rfam family "Bacterial small subunit ribosomal RNA", at positions 338 to 795 of the family's 1533-position model. The record is from RNAcentral.
CCUACGGGAGGCAGCAGUAGGGAAUAUUGCUCAAUGGGGGAAACCCUGAAGCAGCAACGCCGCGUGGAGGAUGAAGGUUUUCGGAUUGUAAACUCCUUUUGUUAGGGAAGAUAAUGACGGUAUCUAACGAAUAAGCACCGGCUAACUCCGUGCCAGCAGCCGCGGUAAUACGGAGGGUGCAAGCGUUAAUCGGAAUUACUGGGCGUAAAGGGCGCGUAGGCGGGAUAGCAAGUCAGAGGUGAAAUCCUAUGGCUUAACCAUAGAACUGCAUUUGAAACUGGUAUUCUAGAGUAUGGGAGAGGUAAGUGGAAUUCUUGGUGUAGGGGUAAAAUCCGUAGAGAUCAAGAGGAAUACUCAUUGCGAAGGCGACCUGCUAGAACAUAACUGACGCUGAUGCGCGAAAGCGUGGGGAGCAAACAGGAUUAGAUACCCCUGUAGUC